GAUGAAGAACGUAGCGAAAUGCGAUAAGUAGUGUGAAUUGCAGAAUUCAGUGAAUCAUCGAAUCUUUGAACGCACAUUGCGCCCCUUGGUAUCCCGAGGGGCAUGCCUGUUCGAGCGUCAUUUCACCACUCAAGCCUGGCUUGGUGUUGGGCGACGUCCUCUUUGGGGACGCGCCUCGAAACGCUCGGCGGCGCGGCACCGGCUUUAAGCGUAGCAGAAUCUUUCGCUUUGGAAGUCGGGGCCCCGUCUGCCGGAAGACCUGCUCGCAAGGUUGACCUCGGAUCAGGCAGGGAUACCCGCUGAACUUAAGCAUAUCAAUAAGCGGAGGA
Molecule: unclassified non-coding RNA, 329 nt
Filed under: soil metagenome
Description: partial contains 5.8S ribosomal RNA, internal transcribed spacer 2, and large subunit ribosomal RNA
Rfam family: 5.8S ribosomal RNA (bases 1-120)
Source: RNAcentral